Molecule: unclassified non-coding RNA, 826 nt
Filed under: Hevea brasiliensis (rubber tree)
Lineage: Eukaryota; Viridiplantae; Streptophyta; Magnoliopsida; Malpighiales; Euphorbiaceae
Source: RNAcentral
UGGAUUUGUAGUUUAUCUCAAAAUUUUAGAAUUAAUUAGAAGUAUAAUCUUAGGAUGUGAAAUGAGUUGGUUAAAUGAAAAUUAUUUUAAAUAUAAAGAAGGAAAGAGGAGAGUUGCAACCAGUAUAGAGGAAUAGCAUAUUUGAUUUACUCAAGCAACUGGAAAAUUUACAAUGAAAUAUGAUUCUUUAAAGUAGUUGUUAAUCAUGAUUCUGAAACUAUUAGUGAAACUUGGGAAUGCAUGAUGUUUUUAAAAAAAUCAGAGGUGUUUUCUUUUCCAAUUUCUAUGUGGGCUUGUUCUUCCAGAGCUUGUGGGGCUGAGGGUUGGGGGUGGGGGAGUUGUUCCUCAAGUGCUAUUCAACUUGAUUGGUGAUUGUUACUCUUUUGGAAGUUGUGAUUUAUAUGGGUUUGUAGUUUGAGUCUUUUACGGUUGAAUAAAUUCUUGUUGAGUUAUUGGUUGUUUACUAUACUGCUGGUGCAACACACUUUUUUGUGAUAUAUAAAUGAAUUUUAAAAUUAUUUGUUGAUAAAUACGUAUAAGUAUUUUGUUUAGUUAUCAUGAUCCAACAUGGACUAGUUUGGGAUUAAGGCUUAUUUGUUGUUGCUGUUGUUGCAAUUAGUUUCUUAUCCCAAAUUUUAUGUAUAUUCUAAACACCAAAAAGUCUAAGUUCUUGAGCUAAAUUUUCCAAUGCCUUUCAAAAACUCUAUUGUACAUGCAAUAAUGCUUUUGAACUUUAGCAGUGUAAUUUUAUAAUGUUAAAAGGUGGAAAUAAAGCGUAAUGAUAUUUGGAGGAAGAAUUGAUAGAAGUGAGAGAGAGAGAGAGAGA